GCGUCGGUUUUCCCAUCAUCAUCAUCCGCCUCCGGGAGCUCGGAGGCAGGGAGGUCCUGCUCCCCACCCUCGUCCUCUUCCUCCAGCCCCGGGGAGGGGGGCUCCAGGCAGGCGGUCAGGGCGUUGCAGUUGGAGUCCAGGCCAGGGCCAGGAGGGGAGGACGCUCCGGAGCAGGAAUCGGGCGAGCAGCAGAAGCUGUCCGGGGAGCAGGCGCCAGGGCCUGCGGAAGCCAGUGGGGAGCCCUGCUCCAGGGGGGUGAUGCUGGGCUGAGGGCGGACAUGCUCGUCGCCAGGGAGGCCCCGCGAGUACACGGAGACGGGGGUCUCGUCAGGGCUAAGAUCUGAGCAGGAGCUGAGCGAGGAGGAGCAGCCCGGGUCCGAGGGGGAGGCAGCCCCCUCUUCCUCCUGGGCCGGGUCCUGCCGGUUUUCCAAGCCUGGCCCGUGCUCCUGGCAGCAGCGGCAGGGCACGGCUGGGCUGUUGGAAUUGGCAUCCACCAGGGCCCCGCUGCAGGGGCCCCGGCUCUCCUUGCCCCCGGUGUCCCCUGGGGGAGGGGACGUGCUCAAGGGCCCCUCCCGUAGCUCAGGACGGCGGGACAGGUGCAGGCCCAGAGAGACAUGCUGGAGGUGGAUGUGGUUGAGGUUGCAAAGUAAAGCCCUCUGAGGGGACAGCAUUGUGCCGCCGGCGACGGGAUGGCCUCUCGACAAUCAGGAGGAUCGGGCCUCUCACACCCGCCUACCUGGCAACGGCAGACGCAGACCUGGAAGACAGGGACGGUGAAACCCAGCCAGAGAGGGCGCGGGCCGCGGGAAGGACACCGAGGUGACUGACAGCUGCAGCAGGCAUGAAAGGCGCCGGCCGCUUCGGACAAUAUUUCAAUGAGAUGCAAAUGUCCACCGACUGACCAUUAGUUUCCACUGCAGUAUUUGCAGGUGGAGCCGAAGGGAGCCCCCCGGGAAUGGGGCGGGGAGGGUCAGAGAAUGCGGCUGCGCGUCCGCGCUCUGGAUCUCCGUGGAGGUGCGGGGGCUUGAAAAAGGAUGGGGCCCGGAAUGGAGCCCCAGAUCGUCUCUGCUGCAGUCUGGCCCUGUCCCCCCACCCCACCCCACCCCACCCCAGCCCACCGCCGCCCCUUCCCCAGCCUGCCCUUCACUCCCAGGGGAAGGGGCCGAGGGAGGCCCCGCCCAGAUGCUCUGAAGCCGGGUGGGGGAUGGCGCGUCUGGCCGCUCAAUGCGCGAAAGGGGCAGCGUGUCGGGUCCGCGUGGCAGGUCGGCCGGCACAGAGCUCGGCGGCCUCGGUGCACCUGCGCUGGGACCCCGUGCUCGUCCAUUCUCUCCGCGCUGGUUCCCAUCACCCAGCCGNNNNNNNNNNNNNNNNNNNNNNNNNNNNNNNNNNNNNNNNNNNNNNNNNNNNNNNNNNNNNNNNNNNNNNNNNNNNNNNNNNNNNNNNNNNNNNNNNCGAGGGGGGGGGGGGGGGGGGGGGGCGCUGGGACAACCCGCCGGCGCUGCGCAGCCGCGCCCCUUCACGCAUGGGCGUGGCGUGGCUCAGACCCAGCCCCCAGCGCCUGACGUCGCGCCUGUGUCACCCACCGAGGCCCAGGGUGCAGCUUUCGAGGUCUCAGGCUUUCGGUCCUCAGGGGUCCCGAAGGCAAGGCCCCCUGGUCCCCGCUUCCGUGCAGCCACCCCCACCCCUGCCCACCCUGGCCGGAGCCGCGCCCCCGGCUAGCACAGCAGGAACAGGUCCACGACAAGGUUCGACAAUUUAUUGAGCGCCUCGCGGCCCCGCCUCGCCCAACCUCUCCCGGUCCCCGGUGCCCGGGUCACUUUUUCCUCUUGUAGAUCUUGUGCGCCAGCCCCAGGAAGAUGGCCGGGGGCAGGGGCGCAGAGUGCUGCUCGAUGAGGCCCAUCAGGCGGCCGUAGCUGUCCUCUUGGUACUGCCCGAACACGGCCGGCAGCUCCAGCUCCUCGUAGAGCGCCUUCACCCGGGCCACCUUCUCGGCCUCCUUUUGCCCAUAGUUCUCCUGGAAGGGUUUGGGGGCAGGAGAACGGGCUCAGCCUACCCCACCAGCGCCUCCGGGUGCCCGGCACGCCCCUCAUGCACAGAUUCCAGAACAUCUCUAUCGCUGGUCACUACUUCCCGCCUCCGGUUUCCAGGGUCUUUGAGCGCCUCCGAUCUUCAACUUCCGUCUCCCCACCCCAAAUGCUCAGAUACUGGCUCAGGACUCAGUUUCUUCUCCCCCGGGGUUUCUCAACCUGGGCACUACUCAAACUCAGGGCUGGAGACUCUCCUGCGGGGGAAGCCGUUCUGUGCACUCUGUGCAUUUGGCGGCUUCCCGGCCUCUACCCAGGAGGCACCUGCAGCGCAUGCGCACACCAAGUUACAACAGAAAAACAACGUCUGCAAAAGCACCCCCACUUGAGAAUCACUGCCCCGUCCCCCUCCUUACGAGCCCAGGUCCACAGCCCUCUCUCCGGCACCUGAAGGACCUUGCGCUGCUCUGGAGAGGCCCGCUGCAGACACUGAACCACCAGCCAGCUGCAUUUGUUGUCCUGGAUGUCCGUGCCGAUCUUGCCUGUCACACUGGGGUCCCCAAAGAGAUCAAGGUAAUCAUCCUGGCAGGGGCAGAAAAGGCAGAGUGGAGAGGCUCCGGAGACAGGAAGCUGUGGCCUGCUCCCACCGGCACCUUCCUACCUGCACCUGGAAGAACUCCCCCAUCUCCAGCAGGAUCUUCCUGGCGCUGGCGUGCUCCUUCUCCCCAUCGAUGCCCGCCUAUGGCGGAAAGGGGAGCGGUGAGCCCAACUCCAGGGGGGCCUCCGCUUUCCCUGCUGCUGCUCUGGGCGGGGGGUGGGGGGCUGGCCUCAGCACAGCCCCCAAAUCGUCUCCCCUCUCCUUUCAGACAUGCCUGGCCGCCCGGAUGCAGGACGUCUGGACCGCCCGACCUCUACCCGCUUAUGCCAGCGGAGCCUCCGGGUGAGGGCCAGCAGAGGCGGGUCAGCCCCAGAGGCCUGCGGACCCCGGGCAACACUCUUCUUCCUAACGCUUCACCAUUUACCACUUCUGCGCGAUGAAAAGGGAAAUGGAGAAGCGAGGUCAGCGCAGGCAGUUAGCCCAGGGUUCUCCACAUCACACCGUGUGACCUCCUCCCCACUCCCAUCCAGACUCGACGGGCUGACUGCUUUCACGUCCCUUGCCUUGGCUAAUGGUCAUAAAAAUCCCGGGGAGGGAACUUUAUCAUCUUACAGCUGAGAGCAGGCUCAGACAGCUUAAGUAACUUGGUCGAGGUCACACAGCCACGCAGUGGGGACACGAGACUGCCCGAAGACGUCUGCUUUGUGCCCUCUUGUCCAAAAGCCCCAUCAGGGGGCAGCAAGGGUGGAGAGGCUCACUCACCAUGUACAUGGCGGCAGCCACAGGAAGAUAGAACGAGUAGAAAGCGGUCUUAUACUUGACGAUGGACUUGUACCUGGGCAGGGGAGAAGAUACACCGCUCAGAAGGGCAGUGCCCAGCACAGCCCUCCCGGGCCGUCCAGAUGCAGUUCCCACCAUCCCUCACCUCUUUUCAGUGAAUCUGCUGAGAUCCACAUUGCCCUGGGGGGCCGUGAUGAGGUCCAGCGUCUGUCCGAGCUCAGUCUGAUAGGAACUCUGAGGAGGAAGAUGGCCCAUAACCUUGCCUUUCUCCAGGGCUGGGAAACCCUGAAAUCCCGGGACCCACAUCCCAUGCCAUGGGCAGUCAGAGAGGCAGCAAGGACAGGGCCCUUGGGGUGCCCGGGUGGCACAGCUGGUUAAGCGUCUGACUCUUGAUCUCGGCUCAGGUCAUGAUCUCACGGUUCGAGCCCUGUAUCGGGCCCUGCGUGGUCAGUGGGGAGCCUGCUUGGGAUUCUCUCUCCCCCUCUCUCUGCCCCUCCCCCACCCAGUGGCUCACUCGCUCACUCUCUCAACAUAAAUUAAUUAAAAAAAAAAAAGAGGGAGAGGGCCCCGAGCCUCAUGGCCCAUCCUGACCCGAUCACGGAGACCAGGGAAGCCCUUCCUGCCACCACCCUGCCCGGCACCCUUCCCGGCAGACCUAGCGCUCUCCCGUGCCCCGAGCGAUGCCAGAUGAAAGUGGCCCAGGGAGGCCAGGCCUGCAGCACACCUGUAGGAAGAGCUCAAUCAGGUUCAGGUAAUAGGGCUGCUCCCGGCAGUAGAGCCUCAGCACGCGGUAGAUACAUGCUUCCAGAAGCAACGCGUCAUUGAUGGCAUCCAGACCUAUGCCUGGCUGUCGGGGACGCAGAAGAAACAUGCGGUCGAUCUCUGGCCACUGUGGACACCUCGGCGGGCUCGAGGUCACCACCACCCCAGGCCCUUUGCCACGCCCACUGCUGACUUCUCGCCCGGUAGUAUCGCACCUUCUGAUACCAGCAGACCUGCCCCCGCCGGGUGAGGGAUGAAUCCAUGAUGUCGUCCGACACCAGGAAGAAAGC
Molecule: long non-coding RNA, 4454 nt
Filed under: Lynx pardinus (Iberian lynx)
Lineage: Eukaryota; Metazoa; Chordata; Mammalia; Carnivora; Felidae
Source: RNAcentral